GGGUGAGGAGAGUAUCCUAAGGCCAGCGAGAGAACUGUUGUUAAGGAACUCGGCAAAAUGACCCCGUAACUUAGGGAUAAGGGGUGCCACCAUCAGGUGGCCGCAGAGAAUAGGCCCAAGCGACUGUUUACCAAAAACAUAGGUUUCUGCUAAGUCGCAAGACGAUGUAUAGGAGCUGACGCCUGCCCGGUGCUGGAAGGUUAAGGGGAUCUGUUAGAGCAAUCGAAGCAGUGAACUUAAGCCCCAGUAAACGGCGGCCGUAACUAUAACGGUCCUAAGGUAGCGAAAUUCCUUGUCGGGUAAGUUCCGACCCGCACGAAAGGCGUAACGAUUUGGGCACUGUCUCAACAACAGACUCGGUGAAAUUGUAAUUCCGGUGAAGAUGCCGGAUACCUGCGACAGGACGGAAAGACCCCAUGGAGCUUUACUGUAGCUUGACAUUGGGUCUUGGUACUACAUGUACAGGAUAGGUGGGAGGCUUUGAAACCAGGACGCCAGUUUUGGCGGAGCCAUCCUUGGGAUACCACCCUUGUAGUACUGGGACUCUAACCAUAG
RNAcentral lists this ribosomal RNA (555 nucleotides) under Clostridioides difficile. RNAcentral's name for it is "partial 23S ribosomal RNA". It matches the Rfam family "Bacterial large subunit ribosomal RNA", at positions 1665 to 2231 of the family's 2925-position model. The record is from RNAcentral. Lineage: Bacteria; Bacillati; Bacillota; Clostridia; Peptostreptococcales; Peptostreptococcaceae.